AUGGAUGCCUAUGUUCUGAAUAAACAAUAUUUACUUGAACCUAUAUGGUCUGAAAAAAGUUUACACUGCCAAUAUUUUUCCGUGACCUGCCAAGGAAUUGAUAUUCCAAUCAAUCUACUGAUGCGGUAUUUGUGGGAGAUGAAGAGUAGCGACGGGUUCAAUCUAGGGGCCGUCUUUCUCGAGCUACAUUCAUGCUUCACAGCAGUUCACCUUCCCACAAUUGCUCAGGUUGCACAUCUGCUGGCCGAUGUGAUUAUGGAUGCCCUGUAUCUUGCAGUUCUUUCUAACCGAGUAUUAUUGCAGAUUCCAAAAUAG
This 315-nucleotide ribosomal RNA is filed under the name Triticum aestivum (bread wheat). RNAcentral describes it as "partial small subunit ribosomal RNA". The record is from RNAcentral. Lineage: Eukaryota; Viridiplantae; Streptophyta; Magnoliopsida; Poales; Poaceae.